Molecule: ribosomal RNA, 497 nt
Filed under: uncultured bacterium
Lineage: Bacteria
Description: partial 16S ribosomal RNA
Rfam family: Bacterial small subunit ribosomal RNA
Source: RNAcentral
GAUGGACGCUGGCGGCGUGCCUAAUACAUGCAAGUCGAGCGAACGGACGAGAAGCUUGCUUCUCUGAUGUUAGCGGCGGACGGGUGAGUAACACGUGGAUAACCUACCUAUAAGACUGGGAUAACUUCGGGAAACCGGAGCUAAUACCGGAUAAUAUUUUGAACCGCAUGGUUCAAAAGUGAAAGACGGUCUUGCUGUCACUUAUAGAUGGAUCCGCGCUGCAUUAGCUAGUUGGUAAGGUAACGGCUUACCAAGGCAACGAUGCAUAGCCGACCUGAGAGGGGGAACCGCCCCAAUGGAAAUGAGACACGGGCCCAAACCCCAAGGGGGGGAGGAGGGGGGAAUAUUUCCGAAUGGGGGGAAGGCUGAUCGAGCCAACCCGCGGGGGUGAAGGAGGGCUUCGGGUUGUAAAAACCCUUUUUUGGGGAAAAAAAGUAGAUGGAAAAAACUGUGCACUUCUGGCGGGACCCAAAUAAAAAAGCCCGGGUAAAUUGCUG